UGUAGCUUAGUAGUAAAGUGCUUGUCUGGCAUGCAUGAGGCCCUGGAUUCAAAUACCAGCA
RNAcentral lists this transfer RNA (61 nucleotides) under Ictidomys tridecemlineatus (thirteen-lined ground squirrel). RNAcentral's name for it is "Spermophilus tridecemlineatus (thirteen-lined ground squirrel) tRNA". It matches the Rfam family "tRNA", at positions 6 to 65 of the family's 71-position model. From Rfam's summary of the family: Transfer RNA (tRNA) molecules are approximately 80 nucleotides in length. Their secondary structure includes four short double-helical elements and three loops (D, anti-codon, and T loops). The record is from Rfam by way of RNAcentral. RNAcentral also lists the same sequence under 1 other name. Lineage: Eukaryota; Metazoa; Chordata; Mammalia; Rodentia; Sciuridae.